This is a long non-coding RNA of Cygnus atratus (black swan), 2453 nucleotides long. RefSeq lists it as uncharacterized. The record is from RefSeq and is a predicted model, not a curated record. Lineage: Eukaryota; Metazoa; Chordata; Aves; Anseriformes; Anatidae. The transcript has 3 exons.
GGCUCGGCCCCGCCGCCCCCUUUCUUACCCCUCACAGCCCGCGGCCCGCCGGGGCUGAGAGCGCCGAGAGGCAGCGCUGGGACUGGAGGAGCCCGAGCGCUUUGCAAGCGUUGAUUCAUUCUGUGAUGUGAAAGAGAAAGAAGUGACACAACCGACCAGUGGCGAAGCCUGAGUCAUCGCAAUGAAUGGUGCCCAUCCUCAUCACCCAUCACCACACCGUGACGGCCGCAGCAAACACAACCAGCAGCCAUGUAGAAGUAGUGAUUUUGACUGAUGACACAUGCAUGAUCUCUCGAUGAGAGGUUUUAAUGUGAUGGGCGAGGAGCACACAGGCCACACGUGAUCUUGUUUGGAAAAAGCAGAGUUCUCCGCUUGAAGAUUUCUGGUCACUAAUGGAGUACAGUGGGACUCGAGUAAGCAAAAAUAGCAUUGUGGUUAAGAUAUUGGCCUAAACUUGGAAGAUAUCUUCUGGUUCCUGGCUCUGCUGCAGACAUCCUGUGUGUCCUUGGAUAAACGCCUCUUGUGAGGCUAAUUUCAUUUAUGUGCUCACAUACGUAGUAAUGAGCCUCAUAAACAGCCUAUAAAUAUAAUCACUUGAAAUUAUUUUUAAGGUACAAUCUCUUGUAUUCUGCGAGGGAUUUCAUGUUCUCUUGGGAGAUGGAAGAGUGUAUGCCAGGCUAAAGGCAUGAGAUGGAUUUGGAUCUAUCUCAAUUUCAGUGGCAUGUGUGCACAUUUAAAUUUGGCAUGUGCAGACCAUUAUGAUAAAAAAAGAGCCUGCAUUAUUUGCACUAUUUCUUAUUUUCUUUCUCAGUCUGGGAUUCUUCAGACUGUAGGAAGCAAGGAGAAACACAUAUAGAUGAUGAUAUCUUUGAAAUAUGCACUGGCUCUGUGUCUUUUUUGUUCAAAAUUCAGGCUUGGGAACACUCUAUAAAAAUCUGUGUGCAUGCACAACAGUUGCAAUUAUUCAUACAGACCCUACUGUAAACCAGAGGCUCAUAUGUACACCUGGACGUUACACAUCUCGACACACAAAAUGUAUGCAGCUAUGCAGUUCACAAGUCAACUUCUACAGGAAGGGUGGUCCUAGAGCAAAUGCAGGUCUGCCAAGUUUGCUAAUUAGGGUUGUGCCUCACCACUUGUGGUGCAAGCGAGUGCUGUGCUGCUUUGCUGGUGCUCUGGCAGCCUCUGCUACAGACAUCCAGCAAUCCCGGGUAAACAACCACUGCUCGCAGCAGGUCUGCAUCAUGCAGCCAGCAAGUGCAACAUGCCAUGGACCCUGGGUCCAGCUAGCAAACACAAACUGUGGCACAGUUAGACCACCGUAAUACUCCCAGUUUUGUUUCUCAAUCCCUCUUCAGCCUCUUCCUUUUCAAAAAGAAUGAUCUCCUCCAACAUAUAUCUUCAGACAAUUGUUGACCUUCCAUUGCUUAGACAAAGCAAAAACAUUUUGUAAGUCUAUACGUAUUGUCUGCAUCUACCACCUAUGUCUAACACAGAUUUUGUAAAAACACAUCUAUCAGUUUUCCAAGGUAGACAUGCCUUAUUUCAUUACAGAAAGAUCUUGUGUGUGUGUGUGUAUUUUAACUUAAUACACCCAGUUAAAAAGCCAUGCACAUGUAGCCAUUUCUGUAUGGAUUGUUUACAAGCAAAACAGUGUCUGUGUUUGAAAACCCACCCAUCAAGAAUAUGUUUACCAUAAAGCAAAGAGUUCCAUAGUAUGAAAGUGCAGCUGAAGGUACUCUUGAUGAUUAGUGAGAAACCAGCAUUCAUUAUUCAUUUGUAAAGUAAUGAUUGUUUCCCUUAAAUCUCCAUAGCAUUCCCUGCAUCACGUUACUGCUUUCAAAUAACUAGAAAUGCCAAUACCUUAAUGAAUCAGAGUACUACUACAUCGUCAAAGGUUGUUAGAAGACACAAAAAUUAUCAAUUUCUAACAUAAAAGGCAGCAGGCAAGAAGACAAAAUUAAGCACAUAAGCAAAAAGUACCUGCUAUCUCCAAAUUAAAAGCAUCUGUUUAGAUGCUAGAAAACCUGUGACUGCAGUUUCUACAAGAACCAAUAUUUCAAAUGUGAUCACUUACACUACUAGUUUUUUCCUGGAUGGCAGCCCUAGUAGUUACUCAAGUGUAUUCCAGUUCACGUAAGGGCAAAGGUAUGCUUCUGGAAUUACCCCUGCUGUCCAGUCUCUCAGAGAAUUAAAGACCUUGGCAAUUAGGAACAGAGCCUUACCAAGCAGCACCCUUGUGUAAGGGAAGGGAGAGAAGACAUGAAAUGAAGAGGCAGUGCCCUCUUCCCUUGCCUCUCAGGAACGGUCUGAGCUAUUAGGUUAAUGCCUCGGCACUGGGAUGCGUCAGUAACAAUAAGGCUUGUAGCAAAGCAAGAAUCUUGACACUCCCAAAAACUUGUUAAUUUUGGCAAGCAAGUUAUGUCUGGGGAGCUGAAGUGAAGAAAAUAAGG